GUGCUUGCUUCAGCAGUAUAUACACUAAAACUGGAAUGACACAGAGAAGAUUAGCAUGGCCUUUGCACAAGGAUGGCAAGCAAAUUUGUGAAGUGUUCCACAUUUUU
Molecule: small nuclear RNA, 107 nt
Organism: Mustela putorius furo (domestic ferret)
Lineage: Eukaryota; Metazoa; Chordata; Mammalia; Carnivora; Mustelidae
Source: Ensembl